AUGGCGCAGCCGCCGCCAUGGAAGGCGAUGUACCUGUAUGUGGCGAGCCAGGCGCGCGAAGACUGCGCCCGCGUCAAGCAAAGCGUCGCCGCCGCAGCCUUCGCCGCCGUGCGUGGCGCGCUGGCGUCCCCGGAGGUGCUGGACACCCGCGACGCCGAGGGGCGGUACACCUUGCUGGAUUCCGCGCUGACCCACAUCGAGCACGCAUCCGACUCCCUCUCCGGUUUCAUCGUCAACAUGGUGGUGGCCGAGCGCCUGGCGCUCCAUGGCUGCGGCGCCGUCCCGUCGGAGGCGGUGGCCCGCAUCGGCGACCUCCGCGACGACCACGACUACGAGUGGCUUGGUCUGAUCAGGCUCGAGGCCGCCAGGGAGCACGCCCAGGAGGCGCUCCGCGGGGUGGAGGGCGCCUUCACCCUCCUGGCCUCCGUCCGGUUCAUGCUUCACAGCCGGAACCCCGACGCUCCCGGGCGCCGGCAAGCCAUGGAGGGGCAGCUCCGCGCCGCCGCCCUAGAACUCCAGCCCGUGGUGAUCAGCGUGGAGAACAUGUGCGCCCUGGCCUUCAUGGCCACCGAGCGUGCCAUCCGCGACCGCAUCCAGUGA
Molecule: ribosomal RNA, 600 nt
Filed under: Triticum aestivum (bread wheat)
Lineage: Eukaryota; Viridiplantae; Streptophyta; Magnoliopsida; Poales; Poaceae
Description: partial small subunit ribosomal RNA
Source: RNAcentral